Stegodyphus dumicola is the source of this 3150-nucleotide long non-coding RNA. NCBI's taxonomy places the organism in Eukaryota, Metazoa, Arthropoda, Arachnida, Araneae, Eresidae. The record is from RefSeq and is a predicted model, not a curated record.
UCCUGGUUUCCCGCCCGUUUGUAAAGGAAACUAUGUGUCGAUGGAGUUGCAAAUAUGUGCAGCCAUGCCGUCAUCUUGUGCUGUGCAGUAUGAUUACGCGUGUUGUUUUGUGGACCGAAAAACUGCGUAAAGAUGAUGUAUGUGUGUCUGAAGUUUCUUCACAUAACUUCACUAUAACUGGAAUUCUAAAAUUUCUGUGCGUGUGACGGACGGGUUCCUUGCCUCGAUAGAAUUAGAAGGUCACUCGUCUAGAUACUGAAUCAUCGAAAUGGAAACGAAGAAAGUGGGGAAGUGUGCUGGAAACAAAUGCCUCCGUUCAGCGACGGCUCCAGAGAGAGAAUUCCAGGACUGUGAGAUCAGUGGAUUUGUUAACGGCUUGAAAAAUUAUUGAAUAACGCAAAAUAGUGCAUUGUCCAAAUUUUUUGAAGAAAAGACGAAGCUUUCGGCCAAAUAUUUCUUCCGAAAUAACGAACAAAGGGCACAAGCUCAUCUUUAUUGAAAACAUCAGUUGCAUAGAAUGUAGGACCAGAAGACACUCCAUGAAACUUCCCAAAGAAAACAAAAGGGAGGAGGAAAAAAAAUAACUAUUCGGUAUAAGUUGUGACAUUUGGAUAAUAUCCAGUACACUAUUACCCCCUUACAAGUACCAAAGUGGAAUUCUACGGAACUUCUUGGAAACGCUUGUUUUCUUCUUUAAUUUGUUUUUGGAAUUCAUGGAAUAUCUUAUUCUUUCUUCGUGUGGCUGUAAUUUUGGAGCUGUAAAUUUUAUCCUCAAGUGUUGAAGUUCGUAGUUCAGACCGUACUUCAGAUGUUUCAGAUUGUUUGAAUGGUCCAGAAUCCAAAUGAAUACCACUUCCUAAUAUGCCAUGGAUUUAGAUUUACGGCUAAGUGUAUAUUUAAUGGGAUGUUAUAUAAGAAAUUUCAUGUUAUCAUGUUUAACAUCUUAUUCGAGUUAAACCUAUUGUAUGUUUAGUUAUUCGUGAUGUGGCAGCAAACGGGGAAAAAAUUUUCUGAUUAAAUGUAGUACAUCCUGGAGAUCUAAAAUGACAUGAUGUAUGUAUGGCAAAUGACUUUUAAUAUUUUAAUGAAAAGUUAACGAUGAGGCGGUUUACUACGAAAAUUUUCUGUGUAUAUGAAAAAUAAAAAAAUGAUAGGAAUGCUAAUUAUGGAAUUUUUAUGUAAUAUCAAAAAUAGCAGUAAUUUCAUGUUUCGGCGGUUUGGAUUUGGAGGAAUAAUUUACAGUUUAAAAAAUUAACUAAUGUUAAUAUGUCAAAUGGUGUAUAUAUGUACCAAAGAGUGCACUUAGUUGCUGUUUUAUAUUUUGAAAAAUUCAGUUGCUGCCAGCUAUGAUAGCUUUGAGUAACAUGAAAAGUGACUACCUAAAAAUUGAAAAAAAUAUUUUGCUUCUAGUAGCUUAAAAUCUCAGCAGAGGAAAUUGUAGACGACCUAAUAUUGCUUAUUUGUUUUUGGAUCAAAUGUUUCCAUAUUUCUUAAUGCAACUAUAUUAGCAUGUCGGUGUCAGAAAACAGUUCGUAAAGUGUAAUAAUUUCAGAGGCAUGUUUUCAGAAGCAUUCUGUUUUACAUUCAGAAAUUUUCUUUUGAAGCUAAUUGAUUGUUUCUUCCCGAGAGCAAGCUGAUGAUAAUUUAUAAUUACUUUGCUGACUAUCGCUAUUGCAUUUUCAACUAAGUAUAAUUAGAUAAGAUAGAUGCAUUAGAUCUGGAUAUUAGUAUAUAUUGAAAGAAGAAUUUAUACGAAAUACAAAGCAAAAUGAUAUUGCUUUUAAAACGAUAACAAACAUUAAAUAAUAAUAUUUUUGAAAAUAUAGUCUUAGUCUUCAUCUCGUCUAUGCUUGUUUUGUGAAUUCUUCGGCUUCAGUUUUUGAUUUUACGGUACUCGAACAAAGAAAGGUGCAAAUUCGUCAAUAUUUCAUGUUUCUGAAGAAUCUGAAGCUUGGUGUUAAAUAUCAAAGCAUUUAAUUUUUUUUCAGGUUAUGCUUCUGGUAAGCACAUAACAGAAAUAUCUUUCUGUAUCAUUACCUAAGUCUUUCAACUAAAGAUAUGAAAGUAAAAGGCUACAUCGUACCUCUGACUUCACCUAAAAGAGCACCUAAAGUAGAUCUGGAUAUUUAGGAAUGCAGAACUUGGGUAAAAACUCGCACCUGUGAAGAAUAUUACCAAGUCUAUAAACUUUGAGCAUUAAAGUGUUGAAAUGAGCUGGCACUUCGAAAAGAUAUUUAAAAGAACAUUUGAAGUAAAUAGCCUGAUAUUUCUAGGACUCCAGACACCUCUUAUCCGGAUUUCUCAUAAAUCAAACAAUCCGUGGGCAAGCCAUUGGUCUACGCACACAUUGCAUCAGUGUCUGGUCGCGCCAAUAAAUCGUCUGGAAGGUCAGCGACUUCUGAGGAUUUUUGCUGCUUCAAGUUUCUGAUCAACUUCUUCAAUAACAAAUACAUCAAAUCUUACGAUGCAGAACUAUUAAGGACAUAACAGUAUCGUUUAAAAAUUGUGAUUGGUUGGCAGAUCAAAAAUAGCAGCCGAAUCAAAUAUGUGGUCUUUUCAAAAGUUGUUUCUUGGAAGAUCAGUGUGUAUCUUGAAGCAGUUGUAUCCGUUUAACAGAACAUCAAGUAUUACCAGAAUAUGUUCAUAAGGAUAGUUAGAUUGUUUUGAACGGAUCUUAUAACCGUAACUGGGACUUAUUGGCGGAGAUUUCAUUUUGGAGGAAAUGAAUGAAAAAUCCUCAGUUUGUCAAAGUUCUUGUGUUAAAAGCACUACUGAAGUCCGUUUUAAAGUGUAACUAUCCUUAACCCGAGUACUCAACGGCUUGAAAGAAAGCGAAAAGCAUGCGUUCGGAGUGAGGUAGUAGGUUGUAUAGUUUAGAACUACACCAAACGGGCGAACUAUACAGCUUGCUAACUUUCUUCGAUCCAUGCCACAAUCAACUCAUCAGCAGUGGAAGUUGAAGACAAAUCAUCUUUUCUGCCCAAGUGCUAAGUGAAAAACCUUGUUUGAUAUUUUUUCUUGUGACAGUGACUUACUGCCUUCAGCAGUUUUAUGUGAAUUGCCUGUGAUUGUACGUUUGUAAUCUGUGAAUUACUUAUGAUUAUAUGUUUGUAGCUCUUGAACUUAUAAAGCUCUUAUUUAUAUAAAAAA